Esox lucius (northern pike) is the source of this 1331-nucleotide long non-coding RNA. The record is from Ensembl. Lineage: Eukaryota; Metazoa; Chordata; Actinopteri; Esociformes; Esocidae.
AUUGGGACCAAACUGUAUAUAAUGAUGGAUGACAAAUGAUAUACUCAAGACAAUCUCAUCGAAUCACAUUAACAACGAGUGUGAGUAUGUUGAGUGAAUGGUAAGGAUAUGUUGCCUUUGCGUUUGCGACUGGGAUUCAAAACUUUUUUCCAUUUAGUCAGUCUAUCCACUAGUAUGUCAGUGGGGAACAACAGCAUACUCAGCUGUGGGGCAUUCAAAACUGGGUGUGGCUCUACCAAACAUUAUGUCACCCCGAGCCAAUAGAAACAGUGGUCUAGAGGAUGUCCACUUUAUUUGUUUAAACUGAUUAGUAUUGUAAAAGUUUUUUGACAUGACUAUAAGGCAUAGUAAACACUAUCAGCUGAAUCCAUUCGAUACAAAUACAAUUUUAGAUUUAAGUCACUAUUGUACAUUUUUUAAAAACAAAUAUGACAAGCUUAAUCCACAUUAUGCACCUUUUUGUCACUUGACCAUCAUGGCACAGUAAGAAAACAAGGCAAUAUUAUACAUUCUGACUUCCAAAUGCAGCAACCUGAAGUCACAAUAUCUUACGUCAAUGUCAGCUAGUAGCUCUUUCUUGAAGUCAGACCUAGCCACGAACAGCCCCGUUUCAUCUGCAUGUCAUCGCUCUGAAUCACCAGCCUGGGCUGGACUGUGUCAAUACCCACUUCCUGUCCGGCGGUGAAGGUGAAUUUCAACAGGGCCUGAGCAGAUCCUUCACCACCGCCCAGACAGACUGUUAGGGGCCCGAUCAGAGGGGUCUUCCAGUGUGGCUGCAGCCUGCUGCUCUGCGGAGCCUGAGACACGGCUGCACAUCCCCACUGUGGCUGCCCAGUUUCCGGCAGAUGCCCCAGCACUGAGCCGGGUGGGAUCCUACCACAAAAUGAGGGUUGCGUAAAAAACAAAAAAAGGAUGAAACGGUGAGAAGAGAGGCUCCCUCCCUCGACCUGAGGACCAACUCUUUCCGCUGGCCGGGGCUCAUGGGAGACCCCCGAGGCGCGCUGUGGUCGACAUGUAGUCCGUCUCCGAGCAGAUGUCAACCUUGUCUUCUUUUUUUCGAGCUGCUGUCACCACAGGCCAGCCGGUGUAACGGAUUUCUUCCUCCUGGGCCACGUCGAGCAGCCGUUGCAAUCUGCACAACAUAUUCUAUAGAUCUACGCAACAUAUUCUACAGAUCUGAACAACAUACUCUACAGAUCUAUGCAACAUAUUCUACAGAUCUAUGAAGCCUACUCAACAGAUCUAGCAGCCUACUCAACAGAUCUAGCAGCCUACUCAACAGAUCUACACAACAUAAUCAACAAUAAUGAUGAUAAUUAUAUAUAUUUUUC